This 396-nucleotide ribosomal RNA is filed under the name Triticum aestivum (bread wheat). RNAcentral's name for it is "partial small subunit ribosomal RNA". Lineage: Eukaryota; Viridiplantae; Streptophyta; Magnoliopsida; Poales; Poaceae. The record is from RNAcentral.
AUGGCAGGCAAGGCAUCCAUCGCGCUGUUCCUCGCCGUGAACCUGGUCGUGUUCUCCGUGGCCAGCGCGUGCGGGGGAAACUGCCCGACCCCGUCCACGCCCACCCCAUCGACGCCCACCCCGACCCCGGGCUCGCUCGGCAGGUGCCCACGCGACGCGCUGAAGGUGGGCGCGUGUGUCAACGCGCUGAACCUGGUCAAGGUCCAGGUGGGCAGGCCGACCGCGUUGCCGUGCUGCCCGCUGCUGGAUGGGCUCGUCGACCUGGAGGCGGCCCUGUGCCUCUGCACAGUGAUCAACGCCAACGUCCUCAACAUCGUCAAGCUCAACCUCCCCAUCAACCUCAGCCUCAUCCUCAACCACUGCGGCAAGAAAGCGCCCACCGGGUUCAUGUGCUAA